CAGACCUCAAAAGUUUCAGAGGUGUAAUCAGGUAGCAUGGAGGAGUGAGCAUCCCCUGCGCCAAGCGUGCGACCAUAUUUCAAUGAAUGAAAUGUGUUUGAAUGCAGACUUAGAUCAGUUUCAUUAAACAUGGCUUCAAAGAGGUAUUGUAUAUGUAACAGGAAAGUUGUUGGCUCGAAUGACUUUAUCUACCUUAGGUGUUUAGAAAUGUAUAUUCAUAUUUAAGCUCUUUGGAAAACAACACCAAAUCUAAACCUCAGUUCUACUUCUUAAUAAUACAUUCAGGAAGAUUCACAAAUCCGAUUUUGGUUUUAAUGUGAUUGAGGAAAUAAAAAAAUUAUAUUUAUUAAAGUAAUCAGUUUAGACAUAAUGGUGCUGGUUUAUUUUAUGUACAUGUAUGUUCUGUGUAUUUUGUCUUUUUCUAUUGUGUCCUGCUUUCCAAAGUUGUGUUCUGGUGAAAAAUGCUGUCUUGGAUUUGUGUGGAAUAGAACGAUUAAGCAAUGUGUGGAAUGUAAACCUGGUUAUUUUGGAAUGGAUUGUGAUUCUCCUUUUCAAUGGCCUCGUUACGGUUUUCAUUGUCAGUUGACCUGUAACUGUAACGAAGAUCAAUGUCACCAUGUACACGGAUAUACAAGAGAUC
Long non-coding RNA from Saccostrea cuccullata (small rock oyster), 640 nucleotides. RefSeq lists it as uncharacterized. The transcript has 3 exons. NCBI's taxonomy places the organism in Eukaryota, Metazoa, Mollusca, Bivalvia, Ostreida, Ostreidae. The record is from RefSeq and is a predicted model, not a curated record.